Molecule: long non-coding RNA, 1050 nt
Filed under: Oryzias sinensis (Chinese medaka)
Lineage: Eukaryota; Metazoa; Chordata; Actinopteri; Beloniformes; Adrianichthyidae
Description: lncRNA (ENSOSIG00000009856.1)
Source: RNAcentral
CUUAAAGUACUUAAAAAUGUUUCAUUUUUAACGUUUUAUGCAUUUAGUUAAUAUUUUUGUGAGUUCUUUUUCCUCAAAGUUCAAAAACUACACCACUGCAUCAGCAGUUUCAUAAAAAAAAAAAAACUAAAAACCCAGGAUUGCCAGUACUUCUCUAAAAGUUUAUAUCAUUUUCAUCAAAUUAAGGCCUUUUUUUGUUCACCCUGCAGGAUCAACAUGACAACUUUCACAGAGAAGUCUGCCGUUUCCCAUGAGGCCUUUUGCAAUCCUUCAAAAAUAUCUCAAGCAUUCCUAAAGAUCAUCAUCUCUUUUAGCAGUUUAACUGCUGCCCUUAAAAAUGUUUUUUUUAAGAACUUUGCCCCAAAAGCUCAAGUUCCUUAAAAAAAAAAGCAGACAAACACACACAAAGCAGAGCGGACAGGCCGUGUGUUGAAAUGCUGGUCAAAGAAUGACGAGAGAUAACCAGAUUGUCUUAAACAGACACUAACCUUUGACAUGCCGGUGAAAUAAAUGCUGAUGUCUGGGUUUGAAUCUGAGAGAUAAAAGGGAACGAAUGAUCGUUCCUGAAGGCAGGGGGUCGGGAAAGGCUCAUGCAUAGUUCACGCAAAACAGUGACCCUUACUUGCAUUGCAGUGUGGCAGUCACUUACAGACUCUUAUCUCUGAAAAUGACAGCAUUCAUCUUACUCAAUGUUGCUACUGACAAGAAGCAGCCGGAUGCUCAGACACGCAGAACACACGUGUGCCAACAAACUGGCCAGUCAAGAACAAAUUAUCUCCGUUCUCAUGCUGAGCGAUACUCAGGGACUCAUGACAGAAAAGGCGCCCAAACGCUUCCAUCGCGAGGUGACGGAUCGAGUAAGUCAGCUCAGCAGGCUGCACACCCGACAGGAAGGACCCACAGAGACAGCAGGGAGGGCCUCUGCAAGUCAAGUCUGGAUGUACUGUCGACAUAGAUGGUGGAAAAACAAUAAAUACCCAUGAAUUUUAAAGCAGUUUUAGUUCCACAAGUUUGUUUUUUAUGAACAAAUGCACUCAAUAAUCAAGAAUU